AAUCAACGCUGGCGGCGCGCCUAACACAUGCAAGUCGAACGAGAAAGUCCGCAAGGAUGAGUAAAGUGGCGUACGGGUGAGUAACACGUGGAUAACCUGCCCUUCAGUGGGGAAGUACCGCUGGGAACCGGACGACAAUACCGCAUAAGCUCGAGAGAGGAAAGCAGCAAUGCGCUGAAGGAGGGUCCGCGGCCGAUUAGCUAGUUGGCAGGGU
RNAcentral lists this ribosomal RNA (214 nucleotides) under uncultured bacterium. Its description in RNAcentral is "partial 16S ribosomal RNA". It matches the Rfam family "Bacterial small subunit ribosomal RNA", at positions 32 to 258 of the family's 1533-position model. The record is from RNAcentral.